AGUGAACGCUGGCGGUAGGCCUAACACAUGCAAGUCGAACGGCAACACAGUAAGAGCUUGCUCUUACGGGUGGCGAGUGGCGGACGGGUGAGGAAUACAUCGGAAUCUACUUUUUCGUGGGGGAUAACGUAGGGAAACUUACGCUAAUACCGCAUACGACCUACGGGUGAAAGCAGGGGAUCUUCGGACCUUGCGCGAUUGAAUGAGCCGAUGUCGGAUUAGCUAGUUGGCGGGGUAAAGGCCCACCAAGGCGACGAUCCGUAGCUGGUCUGAGAGGAUGAUCAGCCACACUGGAACUGAGACACGGUCCAGACUCCUACGGGAGGCAGCAGUGGGGAAUAUUGGACAAUGGGCGCAAGCCUGAUCCAGCCAUACCGCGUGGGUGAAGAAGGCCUUCAGGUUGUAAAGCCCUUUUGUUGGGAAAGAAAAGCAGCAGGUUAAUACCCCGCUGUUCUGACGGUACCCAAAGAAUAAGCACCGGCUAACUUCGUG
Molecule: ribosomal RNA, 492 nt
Filed under: uncultured bacterium
Lineage: Bacteria
Description: partial 16S ribosomal RNA
Rfam family: Bacterial small subunit ribosomal RNA
Source: RNAcentral